GAUGAACGCUGGCGGCGUGCUUAACACAUGCAAGUCGAACGGGAAAUAUUUCAUUGAGACUUCGGUGGAUUUGAUUUAUUUCUAGUGGCGGACGGGUGAGUAACGCGUGGGUAACCUGCCUUAUACAGGGGGAUAACAGUCAGAAAUGGCUGCUAAUACCGCAUAAGCGCACAGAGCUGCAUGGCUCAGUGUGAAAAACUCCGGUGGUAUAAGAUGGACCCGCGUUGGAUUAGCUAGUUGGUGGGGUAACGGCCCACCAAGGCGACGAUCCAUAGCCGGCCUGAGAGGGUGAACGGCCACAUUGGGACUGAGACACGGCCCAGACUCCUACGGGAGGCAGCAGUGGGGAAUAUGGCACAAUGGGGGAAACCCUGAUGCAGCGACGCCGCGUGAAGGAAGAAGUAUCUCGGUAUGUAAACUUCUAUCAGCAGGGAAGAUAGUGACGGUACCUGACUAAGAAGCCCCGGCUAACUACGU
RNAcentral lists this ribosomal RNA (477 nucleotides) under uncultured bacterium. Its description in RNAcentral is "partial 16S ribosomal RNA". It matches the Rfam family "Bacterial small subunit ribosomal RNA", at positions 28 to 506 of the family's 1533-position model. The record is from RNAcentral.